UACGGGGGGAGCAAGCGUUGUUCGGAUUUACUGGGCGUAAAGGGCGCGUAGGCGGCCAGCACAAGUCAGUUGUGAAAUCUCCGGGCUUAACUCGGAAAGGUCAACUGAUACUGUGCGGCUAGAGUGCAGAAGGGGCAACUGGAAUUCUCGGUGUAGCGGUGAAAUGCGUAGAUAUCGAGAGGAACACCUGCGGCGAAGGCGGGUUGCUGGGCUGACACUGACGCUGAUGCGCGAAAGCCAGGGGAGCGAACAGG
RNAcentral lists this ribosomal RNA (254 nucleotides) under uncultured bacterium. RNAcentral's name for it is "partial 16S ribosomal RNA". It matches the Rfam family "Bacterial small subunit ribosomal RNA", at positions 524 to 776 of the family's 1533-position model. The record is from RNAcentral.